Molecule: ribosomal RNA, 440 nt
Filed under: uncultured bacterium
Lineage: Bacteria
Description: bacterial SSU rRNA
Rfam family: Bacterial small subunit ribosomal RNA
Source: RNAcentral
AACGCGAAGAACCUUACCUACUCUUGACAUCUCUGGAAUCCUGCUGAAAGGCGGGAGUGCCGAAAGGAAUCAGAAGACAGGUGCUGCAUGGCUGUCGUCAGCUCGUGUUGUGAGAUGUUGGGUUAAGUCCCGUAACGAGCGCAACCCCUGUCCUUAGUUGCUAACAUGUCAUGGUGAGCACUCUAAGGAGACUGCCGGUGAUGAACCGGAGGAAGGCGGGGAUGACGUCAAGUCAUCAUGGCCUUUAUGAGUAGGGCUACACACGUGCUACAAUGGUGCAUACAGAGGGUAGCCAACCCGCGAGGGGGAGCCAAUCUCAAAAAGUGCAUCGUAGUCCGGAUUGGAGUCUGCAACCCGACUCCAUGAAGUCGGAAUCGCUAGUAAUCGCGAAUCAGAACGUCGCGGUGAAUACGUUCCCGGGCCUUGUACACACCGCACGA